RNAcentral lists this long non-coding RNA (550 nucleotides) under Gossypium raimondii (Peruvian cotton). RNAcentral's name for it is "long non-coding RNA (GRAI_LNC010592)". The record is from RNAcentral. Lineage: Eukaryota; Viridiplantae; Streptophyta; Magnoliopsida; Malvales; Malvaceae.
UUUUUUAAUCUUUUAUUUCUGAUGUUUGUGAAUCUGUUUACAGUGUUUGUGUUGGAUUUUUAUAUCCCGAUUUACAGAAAAUAGAAAAUAAUAAAAAAAUGCUCCCCUUAUUCUGUUAUAUCCUUAUUCGCUGCUGUUUCCGCGUGUUUUUUGCAGGUAUUCGGCCAACCUGGAGGUACGGAGGUGGCCGUACGGAGGCGUGUGUGGCUGGGAGGCGUGGUGGUGCACGUGCGAGGAAGAGCAAAGGGGUUUCCCUGCUGCGGCGCUGGGAAGGGCUACUGCUAGGGUUUUCUGAUUUUGGUCUUUAGGGCUUAGGUGAUUUGGGCCAGAGGUAUCCGGGCUACCUAAUUCGGGUUUGGUAUUGGGCUGUAUGUAAUGUAUUUGGGGUCUGGGUAAUGGGUUUAAGCUACUAUUGUAAUUGGGUUAUGGUAUUGGGCUGUAUGAAUUUGGCCCAUUGUAAUUGCCCAUUGUAAUUGGACUUUAUUGACAUUGGACUUUUAAUAAUUUUAUUUGGUUUUUAUUGUCUAUGUUGGGCCGGGCAAUAUUGGGC